UGGGGAAUAUUGGACAAUGGGCGCAAGCCUGAUCCAGCCAUGCCGCGUGAGUGAUGAAGGCCUUAGGGUUGUAAAGCUCUUUUAGUGGGGAAGAUAAUGACGGUACCCACAGAAAAAGCCCCGGCUAACUUCGUGCCAGCAGCCGCGGUAAUACGAAGGGGGCUAGCGUUGUUCGGAUUUACUGGGCGUAAAGCGCACGUAGGCGGAUCGUUAAGUGAGGGGUGAAAUCCCAGGGCUCAACCCUGGAACUGCCUUUCAUACUGGCGAUCUAGAGUCCGGAAGAGGUGAGUGGAACUCCUAGUGUAGAGGUGGAAUUCGUAGAUAUUAGGAAGAACACCAGUGGCGAAGGCGGCUCACUGGUCCGGUACUGACGCUGAGGUGCGAAAGCGUGGGGAGCAAACA
Molecule: ribosomal RNA, 402 nt
Filed under: uncultured prokaryote
Description: bacterial SSU rRNA
Rfam family: Bacterial small subunit ribosomal RNA
Source: RNAcentral